AUGUCCGUGCACGCCACGCUCUGGGACGGCAGCUUCUGGGCCACGCAGAAGGGCAAGGUCCCCGUCGACUGGUCCGGCGCGCCCUUCGUCGUCUCCUACCACGCCUACUCCGCCGACGCCUGCGUGCCCGCCCCAAACGGCGGGGAGGGCGGCCCGCUCUCCUGCCCCGCCGGCACCGACCGCUGGAUGAACCGGCAGCUCGACGACGCCGGGCGCGGCACCGUCGCAUGGGCCAGGCGCGACUACAUGCACUACAACUACUGCGACGACGGCUGGCGGUUCCCGCAGGGCUUCCCCGCCGAGUGCGCACGCGGCUGA
RNAcentral lists this ribosomal RNA (318 nucleotides) under Triticum aestivum (bread wheat). RNAcentral's name for it is "partial small subunit ribosomal RNA". Lineage: Eukaryota; Viridiplantae; Streptophyta; Magnoliopsida; Poales; Poaceae. The record is from RNAcentral.